RNAcentral lists this transfer RNA (17 nucleotides) under Onobrychis viciifolia (common sainfoin). RNAcentral describes it as "partial tRNA-Phe". The record is from RNAcentral. Lineage: Eukaryota; Viridiplantae; Streptophyta; Magnoliopsida; Fabales; Fabaceae. RNAcentral also lists the same sequence under 27 other names.
GUCGGGAUAGCUCAGCA